UUCARUGGUGGCCGCUGAAAACUUUAUCCUAGUUGUCACUAGAAGAGAAAAGGAUUCCAUUAAAGAAUUCCUAAAUGGUAGUUAUUCAGAAAACCUUCAGAAAAACAGGGAUGCCCUCUGUUCUAUUCUUGACKUGGUGAUUCUUCUAGCCAAAAGAGGUAUUGCAUUUAGAGGAAGGUGAGACAAAUCAGUUAAGAAAGAUAUUGGUAAUUUUGAAUAUUUCAUACAUUGGCUGGCGAAAUACGAUAACAAUCUGUCUGUUCACUUAUCCUCUGCUGCGAAAAACAUGCGCUAUUUAUUACCACAAGUGCAAAAUGAAAUGAUAGAUUGUCUUGGUAAGGUCAUUCGCAGUACCCUUGUUUCAAAAAUCAACAAGAGUAAGUUCCUGCAGCAUCAUCAGGCGGAUGAAACAACUGACGUCUUGACAAUUAAGAGCAACUAUCUGUCUGUGUACGAUACCUCGACAUGUCAUCUGCAAUCAACAAGGUUGAAGUCCAUGAAGUCUUCCUUGGGUUUGUACCUCUACCCAGAACUGAUGAUAUCUGAUCUCCUGCUUGAUGGGGCAUGGAAUAUGAGUGGGGUUAAUUCAGGACUCUGACUUCCAGGCAAGGAUUAAUAUUACUGCCCGAUUUCCAAAAGCAAGGUACUUCGUUUACCCAUUGCUCAAGCCACUGCCUAAACCUAGUCAUUGUUGCAAGCUGCAAUAAUGUGCGUGARAUCAGCAACUUUAUGACAACAUCUCARCAACUAACACUGUUUUUUCUUACUCUGCCAAGAGAAAGGAUAUGCUUAAGGAGAAAAUGGCUGCUCCUUCCGAUACUGAGGAUCUCCUGGCUGACUGUCCGACAGAAGAGCGUGAAGAAGAAAUGCUUAUGAAUGCAAUUAUACUGCAAAUGCUUACCAACUUUGAGCGACACACGCUGGCUAUCACGGUUUGAUUCCAUCAGUACGCUUCUGGUGAAUUACUCCAGGAUAUAUGAUACCGUAUCUGAAGCCAUGAUGCACAGUCAACAGGGAAGGCAUCCCUGAUGACGCGUCCAGUUAUUUACAUGCCAUGAAAUAGUUCCACUUUAUCGUUUCAGCUGUUCUUACCCAAUAUAUCCUAGGAUAUACASGAACUCUUUCAGUUCUACUCCAGUCAAAACCGUGCGACUUGAUUAAAGCCCACCGGGAAGCAAGAAGCCUUGUGUCUAUUAUUCUAAACGGUUUAAGGCAGAGUGAGGAAAAGUUCAAGGUACUGUUCGAAAGUGCCACCACAGUAGCUCAAACAAUCGAUGUGUUGCCUUCAAAACCGAGAACCACCGGCAGACAGGUCCAUCAAGCCAAUGCAUGUGCCGAAUAAAUUGACAAAUUUUCCAGGCUGAAUUACUACUACCCUUUUCUGGACCAUGUUAUCAGGCUCAUGGAAGAGCGAUUUCCAAAAGAUCUCCAGGGUGCUUUACUGGGUGCUCUCCUAAUACCUGCCAAUCUAGGCCAACUGACUCGGUCAAAAGAGGGUAAAAUUAAAUCUGCGUUCACUUAAAGACCUCCCCCUUUCGCAGUCAUUUGAGCAGGAGGUACUUGGAUGGAAAGAAACUAAAAAGAACAAUUACAAUUGCAUCACCUCACUUACAGAGUAUUUCACAUUUUCCGACAGCAUUCUUAUCCAAACAUCUCUACUGUUCUCCAAGUUGUGCUCACUCUAGCUACCUGUCGGARGCUGCUCGUGUGAACAUAGUUUUAGCUCUUUACGUCGGUUGAAGACAUGGUGCCGGUCCUCUAUGGGCUUUAAUCGGCUGAAUGGCCUUUCAUUAGCCUAUGUACAUGAUUACAUUCUCGUAUAGCCACUUGAGAUUUUACAGCGCUGGGAUGCCAGUGGACACAGAAAAAUUGCCAUUGCAUUCAAAAAUACAUAAUAAUAUAAUAAUAUUUUAUUGGUCAGAAAUUUUGCUAACUUCAGCUUUUAAAAAAGCUAAAGUUAGCAAAAUUUCUGACCAAUGACAAUUCUGAGAGAGCUAGUUUGUUUCAUUUAU
This is a long non-coding RNA of Actinia tenebrosa (Australian red waratah sea anemone), 2012 nucleotides long. RefSeq lists it as uncharacterized. The record is from RefSeq and is a predicted model, not a curated record. NCBI's taxonomy places the organism in Eukaryota, Metazoa, Cnidaria, Anthozoa, Actiniaria, Actiniidae.